GCGAUUCCCUUUAGUAGUGGCGAACGAAACGGGAGAAGCCCAGCGCAUAAUCUCCCAGGCCGCCCGGCCUGCGGCGAAAUGUUGCGUUAAGGGAAAGGUCGCUCGUAAGCCACGCACGCUCGUGCUUAUGCCUAAGAGCGAAUUGAAUUGUUCGCGCUUGUUCGGCAUUCGCUCACGCGAGUUGUCGACGUACGGUUCCAAGGAGGGUGCAAGCCCCGUAUGGCGUACGUUGCGUUGCGUUGGUUCGGCCUCUAUUCCCUAAGAGUCGCGUUGUUUGAACAUGCAGCGCUAAGCAGGUGGUAAACUCCACCUAAGGCUAAAUACAUCCACAGAACCGAUAGCUAACAAGUACCGCGAGGGAAAGUUGAAAAGUACUCUGAAGAGAGGGUGCAAAGACCGUGAAACCGCUCAGGGUAAAAGCCGAAUGUCGAGUGAUCCUAGAUGCUGGGGCAUCGACUCUCGAGUCGAUAGUUCGUGUCAGCGCGCGUGUUAKAAGUUACGACGUUUAUGUAAGAGCGCCGUGUAAUUCACUAGUUUCAAGCUCGUGUUUAUGCGGUCAUUUAAACGAAGUCUCUCUAAUGCAUCGAGCGUAUCAAGUACACGAACCUUUAGGCCCGCUAACAGCCCACCGCAACUGUUGCCGAGGUCACUCGCGGUAUACGGGCGUCAGUUCGUGGCUUUUUCGUUCCUUCGGUCGUCGGGUUUACGCUUAUGCGAUGCUCCCGGAGUAGGCUUAUUUCGGUAAGUGCGAAAAGGGGCUCGUGUAUGCGGGCGUACAACUAAUGACAAAUCACAUGGCCGAGGGGUUUGCGAAUUGGUCGCUAAGCGUUCUAUGCGUCGUAAUACCAAUGCGAUCUUACGUUUGAUCCUCUAGCAGCGUUGUUCGCUGACACGCGUACUUUAUUGUGCGUACGUACGGUGGUAAAUGCUAGGUGACAUCGGUCACGUCUCGAAACACGGGCCAAGGAGCGUAGCGUGCGCGCAAGUCAAAGGGUCUAUCUAAACCCUACGGCGACAGUGAAAGCGAGUGGUUCGAUGUCAUACGUGACAACGUAUCCCGGUUUGUGACGGUAGUUCUUUUACCGAAGUCUAUUCGUUGCUUACCGCUUUGUCAGGGCCGAUCCCGAUCGAAAGAUCGGGCGCACGCCCCGGGCUCACUCGUAAGUCGCGGUUCUAUUCUCUUUCGGGAGGAUUCUAUUGUGAUGGAGGGAGCACCGAGUAGCGCGCACGGUACAACCCGAAAGAUAGUGAACUAUGCCUGGCGAGGACGAAGCCCCAGGAAACUGUGGUGGAAGUCCGUAGCCGUUGUGACGUGCAAAUCCAUGGUAUCAGCUGGGCAUAGGGGCGAAAGACCAAUCGAACUAUCUAGUAGCUGGUUCCGUCCGAAGUUUCUCUCAGGAUAGCUUGCGCGGUUAUGGCACGUUUGUUUGAAUCUCUAAGCUGGCGACAACAGUCGUACUCGAGAUCGUUCCUUUCGUUGCUCGAGAGCUGAGGGUUAACGCUCGCACGCCUCCAACGCUCGGAAUCUCUGACACCUUACUUUCUUAUUCAGUUACGUCUGGUAAAGAGAAUGAGUAGAGGUUGCGUGCCGCGCGCCCAAAUGCGCGGCAGCGGCGGGGCGUUCUACGCCUCGCACUAUUAUCAAACUUUAAAUGGGCGAGGAACUCGGCAUUUCUUAACUGUGUUAACUGUGAUGCCGGGGUAAAGAGUGCGCGUCGCCGUAAAAUAGCGACGAGACUAGAAUGUGUCCGCGUUUUAGUGGGUCCGUUCUGGUAAGCAGAACUGAUAAUGAGGGAUGAACCUAACGUUGUGUUAAGGGGCCAAAAAGACAGCUAUUUCUCGAAACCAUUGGAAAGGCGUUGUUUGCUGAAGACAGCAGGACGGUGGUCAUGGAAGUUGACAUCCGCUAAGGAGUGUGUAACAACUCAUCCUGCCGAAGCGAGUAACCCUGAAAAUGGAUGGCUCUAAAGCUCUCUCCCGAUGCACGACCGUCAGUGGCAACACGGCUAAUUACUAGUCUCGAUGCCCUGACGAGUAGGACGGGGUACCGGUGCGCGUCGAAGGCCUUAGGGUGACCUGGGCUGGAGCCGCCGGUAAUCCAGAUCUUGGUGGUAGUAGCAAGUACUCUGGUUGAUAACCUUGAGCUAUGAGGUUGAUAAGGGUUCCAUGUCAACAGCGUUUGUACAUGGGUAAGCCGAUCCUAAGCCAACCUAUACCCAGGUAUAGAUGGCGAGCGCAACUUGCAGAUAUCCUCUCUCGUGUUUGCGUGAGACUGUGUGUGGGUUUAGUAGUAGUUGUUGGAGUGAGUAAGAGGAAAUAUCCGAUCUUGCGUUUAUUGCGUUUAUGUGUUCUAUAACAUAUAUUACAUGCACGCCAUCGUAGUAUAAUCGAGCCUCUACGUAUCGUUGUUGUUGUUGUUUGCGGAGAAAGAGUUAGUGUGAUUGAUGCGAAAGCUUUAACCAUUAACAUUAUCUAGUAUCCAAAGGCUUCAUCACACACAAUUACGGUAAGCUUUUAUACGUAGAUUUGUGUGCGCGCGUGUAUCUAUCGCAGACGCAUAACGGGAUCAUUUUUCUCCCUCCUCCAUCAACAACGCGAAAGACUCGCAACAAAAGCACAUAUCACAAAAUAUAUGCGCGAGAGGGUUUGCGAGUUGUUAUUAGCCUGGCGAAAGGGAACUAUGGACUUAGUUCAUGGGCCUCUCUUGGUUCCCUGGUGCCUCGCGGUAUCACGAACUUAGCAACAGCUAUCUAGCUGAGCCAUCGCAGUCUCUUGUCGCGUGAUGGGGAGAUGUCUCCUCUCAUUAAUCGAACCUCUGGAGCCUGUUAAGCGCCUUGAGAGGAGCUAGGCUCUAUGUUCGUGAGAAGAGUAAUUUCUCUCCCCAAUCAUAUCAAUGUUUCAAGAGAUCCGUGAAAAGGUGGCCGAGGGAAUUUCUCUAACGAACUAUUCUACCCAGAUGUUCUUAGAGAUUGCCAAGAGUGUACGUACCCGAGUCCGCAUCCGUCUCAAA
RNAcentral lists this ribosomal RNA (3010 nucleotides) under Scina borealis. RNAcentral's name for it is "partial 28S ribosomal RNA". It matches the Rfam family "Eukaryotic large subunit ribosomal RNA", at positions 71 to 1871 of the family's 3401-position model. Lineage: Eukaryota; Metazoa; Arthropoda; Malacostraca; Amphipoda; Scinidae. The record is from RNAcentral.